Ornithorhynchus anatinus (platypus) is the source of this 625-nucleotide long non-coding RNA. RefSeq lists it as uncharacterized. The transcript is spliced from 2 exons. The record is from RefSeq and is a predicted model, not a curated record. NCBI's taxonomy places the organism in Eukaryota, Metazoa, Chordata, Mammalia, Monotremata, Ornithorhynchidae.
CACUCCAAGAUGGCGGCCAACUGUCCACUCCAUUGCCGGAAUGUUCCACCUCUUCUCUGAGGCUAGUGAAUUCGGAUCCCUAUGGGGCCACACUCCUCUAGUCUGGGGGUCUGUUUUGGAGAACAGAUACGGAUUGGAGGAGAGACUUAGAAGAUCGUGGAUCUGGAUGAGGAGAGCUGCAACUCCCAACCCUCCUGCAGUCCCAGGAGAGAUGGCAUCCUUCCCAAAUGACAUUCCUACACAACAUCGGCAACAACAGUGGCUGCGGCAGAAUCUCUCCACGGCCAGUUGGAUAUCCCUUGCUACGGUGGCCCAGUCUGGGGUCCCUUGCAUUUGAGGUCAGCUCCAGGUUCAUCCAUUCCCGUUCAGGUAGCAAGAAUUCCUCAGAGGGACUCGGAAAACCUCAGGUGCAGCAACCCAGAAUGGCACUUCCCUCCUGCUAGAGUCAGCUCCAGCUUCACUCACACACACUUCGGUUCCAGAAGAAACUGCAUGUGCACCCAUGGUCGCCCUGAUCUUUAUGGGAAGUCCCUCUCCCUCUCCCUCUUCCCUGACACCUGUCCCUGCCCUGAAGAUGGGGUGACUUAGUAACUAUGAGAAGAUUAAAGCUAUCCAUUUAAAAGCA